This 493-nucleotide ribosomal RNA is filed under the name Bactrocera oleae (olive fruit fly). RNAcentral's name for it is "partial 16S ribosomal RNA". The record is from RNAcentral. Lineage: Eukaryota; Metazoa; Arthropoda; Insecta; Diptera; Tephritidae.
CAAAAACAUGUCUUUUUGAGUUAUUUUUAAAGUCUGACCUGCCCACUGAAAUUAUUUAAAUGGCCGCAGUAUUUUAACUGUGCAAAGGUAGCAUAAUCAUUAGUCUUUUAAUUGAAGGCUGGUAUGAACGGUUGGACGAGGUAUAAGCUGUUUCAUAUAAAUUUAUAAUAGAAUUUUAUAUUUUAGUCAAAAAGCUAAAAUAUAUUUAAAAGACGAGAAGACCCUAUAAAUCUUUAUGUUUUGUGUUGUUUAAAUUUUUUGGGAUUGGUUUAUUUUUAUAAUAUAAAAUAUUUUGUUGGGGUGAUAUUAAAAUUUAAUUAACUUUUAAUUAUUUAAAAUCAUUAAUUUAUGAGUUAUUGAUCCAUUAAUAGUGAUUAUAAGAUUAAGUUACUUUAGGGAUAACAGCGUAAUUUUUUUGGAGAGUUCAUAUCGAUAAAAAAGUUUGCGACCUCGAUGUUGGAUUAAGAUAUAAUUUUAGGUGUAGUCGCUUAAA